RNAcentral lists this ribosomal RNA (340 nucleotides) under uncultured bacterium. RNAcentral describes it as "bacterial SSU rRNA". It matches the Rfam family "Bacterial small subunit ribosomal RNA", at positions 889 to 1232 of the family's 1533-position model. The record is from RNAcentral.
AAAACAAGAAACUCAAAGGAAUUGACGGGGGCCCGCACAAGCGGCGGAGCAUGUGGCUUAAUUCGAUGCAACGCGAAGAACCUUACCUGGGCUUGACAUGCGGGGUGAAGCCGGUGAAAGCCGGCGCUCUACGGAGCCCGCACAGGUGGUGCAUGGCUGUCGUCAGCUCGUGCCGUGAGGUGUUGCCUUAAGUGGCGCAACGAGCGCAACCCUUGUCCCUAGUUGCCAGCGGGUGAAGCCGGGAACUCUAGGGAGACUGCCGGUGCCAAACCGGAGGAAGGUGGGGAUGAGGUCAAGUCAUCAUGCCCCUUAUGUCCAGGGCUGCACACAUGCUACAAUG